GAUGAAGAACGUAGUGAAAUGCGAUAAGUAAUGUGAAUUGCAGAAUUCAGUGAAUCAUCGAAUCUUUGAACGCAUCUUGCGCUCCUUGGUAUUCCUUGGAGCAUGCCUGUUUGAGUAUCAUGAGCAAAUCUCAAAGUCAAUUCCUUUUGUUAAUUCAAUUGGUUUUGCUUUGGACUUGGAGGUCUUGCAGAUUUCACAGUCUGCUCCUCUUAAAUGCAUUAGCUGGAUCUCAGUAAUUAUGCUUGGUUCCACUCGGCGUGAUAAGUAUCACUCGCUGAGGACACUGUUAAAAAGGUGGCCAGGAAAAUACUGAUUGAACCGCUUCUAACGGUCUAUUAAGUUAGACAAUUACCCUUAAGUUUGAUCUCAAAUCAGGUAGGACUACCCGCUGAACUUAAGCAUAUCAAUAAGCGGAGGA
This 418-nucleotide unclassified non-coding RNA is filed under the name soil metagenome. RNAcentral's name for it is "partial contains 5.8S ribosomal RNA, internal transcribed spacer 2, and large subunit ribosomal RNA". The stretch from base 1 to 120 matches the Rfam family "5.8S ribosomal RNA", at positions 35 to 154 of the family's 154-position model. The record is from RNAcentral.